AGGCGGUGAUGGCAGUAUACUCCUCAACACCCGAGGUGACCUUUUUCUCAGCUUCUUUGAUCAUCGGAAAGUUCCACUAGGUCCAGAUGACGUCCUCUUCCUGACGACACUCUGGAGAGUUUCUGUCGAGGCCUGCAUGCCUACACAAUCAUGACAACAAAGAGUUAGUCUACAAGCAAAGCAAGAGCUACAAAAAUCUAUGGAAAAGAAGAUUAUCUAGAUGGCUCGUCAGGCUUAUCCCGACGUCAUAAAGCGACUAUUCCUCCAGAAGCUCCUAUUGUGGAGGAACUAGGACUUCGAAGAGCUUGUCGUACAGCUCCUGAUCUUCCAGCAAGACUACAUCAUUCUUGUUCAGUGACAGAUUGAGAGCGGUCCAGGUCCAGUCGAAGCCCCAUGGAUGGUCAGCAGCAAUGUAAAAGAAUUUAUUCUUCCACCCAUGGAUGGAAAAAGAAAAGCCCUUAAUCAAUUGACGAUGGGGCUGAGGAUUGAAGAACCACUAUCCUUAUUUUCGAGGAUAUUUCUUCAACACAAAGAUGGCCCGAAAUAGAGAGAUUCGGGGCUCAACCUGAAGAAG
This 574-nucleotide long non-coding RNA is filed under the name Elaeis guineensis (African oil palm). RNAcentral's name for it is "long non-coding RNA (EGUI_LNC024760)". The record is from RNAcentral. Lineage: Eukaryota; Viridiplantae; Streptophyta; Magnoliopsida; Arecales; Arecaceae.